RNAcentral lists this long non-coding RNA (1327 nucleotides) under Medicago truncatula (barrel medic). Its description in RNAcentral is "lncRNA gene7506". The record is from RNAcentral. Lineage: Eukaryota; Viridiplantae; Streptophyta; Magnoliopsida; Fabales; Fabaceae.
UGCCAAGAAAAAAUAAAUAGGGAGCAUAUCAACAAAAGAAUAUAAAGAGAAAAGUGUUUUUCUUUUUUCUAUCAAAAAUGAAUGAACUAAGAACUCACAUAGCUACAAAUACAAAAUUAUGGCUAUAAAUAAAGGUAAUGGCCGUGAAAGAAGCUUUGGCAUAUUCGAGCAACCGAGCUAGCCUGUGUUUGGAUUCGCGUUGGUAUGAAGCUAGCAAAAGGAGCUCCGUGUCAAUGCACGGUGGGAAGACAAUCUACAGCAGAAGCAAAAACGGUCUUAGUGAGUGCUGCGCCAUUUUCUAAUGCGUCUCUUGAAUGGAUCAACCCAAUUUUUGUCCUUGGCAAUAGCUUGAUUCCAGCGUUCUUUAAAGACUUCAAGUUCCCAUGUUGAUUGUCUUCGUAUCUACUCAAUCCACGUUAGUAAAGUAAACGUGUCAUUUACUUGUUAUUGAUCAUGCUCACACAUCAAUGAAAUGAAAUAACGGAUUUCCAGAAUAGCUCAAAAGCCUUACCUCAGAUCGAACAUCAACUGUUGCUCCACCUUGUUUCUGCUAUCAACCCAAUUAGAAAGGGAAAAAAAGUGAAAUUUAGGAGCACUGGGAUAGUAAAUGAAUGAAAUAGGAUUAUAGAUAUAAGUACUAUCUAAACGUCAUGUAACUAAAAACUUUACCGUAGUUGUCUUUUUAAGUUUUGAAACCUGCAAAAAAUCAGGAAAGUUACUGUUACAAGAAGUGGAAGAUCCAUAACAAACUAUUUAAAAUGGUAGAAAUACCCUUUCAAGUUAGCCCACCGAUGCAAUCAAUAUUCUUAGUUUGCAGUGACACAGUACAAGUUAACGAAGCUAAUAUACGGAGAGGAGGAAAAUACCUUGGUUGCACCAUGAUCGCUCCCACCCAGAGUCUGUAUCCCUUUAUGAACAACAUAUUGACUAUCAACAACUCCCACUUUUUUAGUUCGAUCGCCCUGAAAAACGACAUUGAUCUCACUAACGAUGCUUAAACAUGAGGGUGAAACAGCAGUAAGUCCAAGUCCAGCUGGUAUAUACGUGAUGCAUCUCAAGUUGACAUACUAUGAUUUCUCUUUAAAAAAGAAUAUUCAAUAACUAUCUCUUGUUAAAUGCAGUAGUAAUUCUGGAGAAAAUGCAUAUUUCUCACCUGUGCACAAUAUCCUAGUUUCAUAUCCAUUCCCCAUCCAUGGACAAGGUCAUUCUGGAGAAAACACAGAAUCAUGUGUUACAAAUAUCGAAUGCCAACUACCAAGAAUAAGGGCUAUUUUGAUCUAUCAAUAACCCAUAGAAAAAAUUGUCCAAAAAUUACAAAAGAGACAAG